GUUUUUUAUUUUUAAAGUCCACUGGCCUCUCUCCUCUGGGUGGAGACGAGAGGUGAGACUCUUGCUUUGGAAAUGACUGCUCAUGGUCCUGAGGUCCGUAGCCCUGUGUUCUGAUCCUGGAUCCAGUGGAUUGCUAUUGCUACAAUUUUAUUUCCGGUAAGUAGUCAUUAAUAAUCAGUUCCACUUGCUGGUAGUUAUCAGGUCCCAGGCACGGUGCUAAAAGCUUAGGGUACCUUCUCUCAUUUUUCCCUAUUUAUUUCCCUACUCACCUUACAGAUCUUAACUGUCCUUCCUUGGGGACGCUUUCCUCGACUUGGGCGCCUCCGCUUCCCAACCCCUCAAUUACAUGGUCUAAUUAUACCACAGACCCUCCCGUUGAGGCACUUACCUCAGUUGACAUUUUUACUUUAUUCGUGCCACUUUUUAAUUCACGUGUGUCUCCUACAAGAGACCUCAGUGCCGUGGGCCCACUGCCAUGUCCCACACCAAGCACAGUGCCUGACAUUCAAUAAUAUACUUACUGAAUGAAAGAGGGACCGAAUAGCCUAUCAGAACCCUGCAGUGUGGGUUUACACUGAGGCCCAGAGAGGUUAAAUGCUGGCUCUGGGUCACACAGCUAGUAAAGGCGAUGGUAGGAUCAAGCACGGGUCCAUCUGGUUCCAAGACCAGAUCUUCACCAUUGCCCCCCGAUGCCUUCCAGUGUCCAAAUGCGGUCUUCUACUGCCCUGUCCUUCCUGUGAAAAGCAGAGAGGUCCUGCCCCUUUCCGUGGCCCUCUUGUUUAACUUCUGCCCCCUCACCUCAGGUCCUGGCAUUCAAUCUCGUGACCCCUCCAGCUGUGAAUCUUGCCCUUUGCAAAUGCCUUCCAUACCGUUCAGCGGUCUCUUGGCUGCCGGCACUGGUCUCCAUCUGCUGAGAUGGCGUGGUGCCCGCUCACAAGAUGGCACGCUAUUUUUACCCGGCUUAGGUGCCAAGCCAGCCAGAUGUUUUUUAGCAGUGCAGGGAAGCUGAGCAUUGCUGGGGUGUGGAGGGAAGCUUCCAAAUGUCAGCUCCUUGGGGGGGCUCCGGGACAAGCAGAGGAAAGGCUCUGCCUGGAAGUGGGCAUCCCGAAGAGAUUUCUAGGUGCUGGCACCUGUGUGGGGCUCAGGCCGCACACUGUGCACUGGCUGCUGGUUAUGGGCACCUGCCGGGCUGUGAUGGGUCUGUUCCAGGCAGGAAAUGCCCUGGGUCAUCCUUCCCCAGAGGGCUUGUGCUUCAUCCCCCGUGCUGAGAUCCAGGCAGUGAUGCCUGGGGACCUAUCCUUCUGGGGCUUCACUGAAUGCUUGGAAAAUUCUAGGUGUGGCUGGCUGCGUGAGGAACCCGCCAGAUCAGGCUGAGUCCAGGCAGUCGUUAGGAUCAGCUUUCCCUCAGAACAGAUGGAGCCAGAGAGCUUGUGUGCUUCAUGUGAGCCCUGGCAGCUGCCGGAAACAGUUUCUGGUCUUGAAGCUCACCUCAGUGAGAGCAGCAUGGGCUGAGAACACGGGAGCUGACUUCAGGUGUAACGGGAGGGCUGCAGGCUAGACCGCAAAGGAACAGCUCCCCGCUGACAGAAUGCUUGGAGAGACCCCAGGGAGAGCACCGUGGCCACCACAGCACCAGCCUCCAGGUUACCCCAAGCACAUGAGGCUGGAGAAGGUUCUGGAGUGUCUUCAAGUGGUUCAAGGCUUCUGCCAGAAACAAUUGGGAAAACAGAAUGCAGCCCAGGAUCGAAAGAAUCUAUCCAUUCCUCUGGAAUUCUCCAUCUGUCCGGCUGGGCCCCAUAUUAACAUUUGAGUAAUUCCCUAAUGUGAAGUUGCCAGGCUUUAAAAAUAGUGCAGGCA
This is a long non-coding RNA of Leopardus geoffroyi (Geoffroy's cat), 1857 nucleotides long. RefSeq lists it as uncharacterized. Lineage: Eukaryota; Metazoa; Chordata; Mammalia; Carnivora; Felidae. The transcript has 4 exons. The record is from RefSeq and is a predicted model, not a curated record.